Long non-coding RNA from Ictalurus punctatus (channel catfish), 981 nucleotides. The record is from Ensembl. NCBI's taxonomy places the organism in Eukaryota, Metazoa, Chordata, Actinopteri, Siluriformes, Ictaluridae.
GUCCAAGUCCAGUCUCAAGUCCCUCAGGUCCAAGUCCAGUCUCAAGUCCCUCAGGUCCAAGUCCAGUCUCAAGUCACUAGGCUCUGAGAUCCAAGUCCAGUCUCAAGUCACUAGGCUCUGAGAUCCAAGUCCAGUCUCAAGCCUCCAGGCUCUGAGAUCCAAGUCCAGUCUCAAGCCUCCAGGCUCUGAGAUCCAAGUCCAGUCUCAAGCCUCCAGGCUCUGACGUCCAAGCCAAGCCUCCAGGUCCUGAGGUCCAAGCCAAGCCUCCAGGCUCUGAGGUCCAAGCCAAGCCUCCAGGCUCUGAGGUCCAAGCCAAGCCUCCAGGCUCUGACGUCCAAGCCAGGCCUCCUGGCUCUGACGUCCAAGCCAAGUCUCACGUCCCUGAGCUCACGUUCAAGCCUGCUGAUCCAGUUGACCAAGCUCUGCUAAUAUCUAAGCCUAACGACCAAGUUCUGCUCACGCCCCAGUCUGCUGACACGCCCAGCCAAGCUCUGCUCACGCCCCAGUCUGCUGACACGCACCGCCAAGUUCUACUCACGCCACAGUCUGCUGACAUGGCCACCCAAGCUCUGCUCAUGCCCAAGGUUUACCUGGUGACCUCAGAGCCUCAGCCUCCCUGUUCAGCUGAGGUCGUCGCUCAGCCUCCCUGUUCAGCUGAGGUCGUCGCUCCGCUUCCUUACGCCGCCAAGAACACUGUGCAGUUUCCUAGCUCUGCUUGGGACGUUCAGCGCCAAUGAAGUGGGAUGACUCAUGGCACUCCGGGAGGAGGAGUAACCCCCACCCCAGUUUCCAAUAACAUUGAAAACAUUAAUCAGGGGUCAAUAUCAGAAACUCAUAUUGACAUUCACACUCCGUGUCACGAUUCCCCCUUGAAGCAGCGUGCUCUAAGCGCGAAUGCGCGAGCACCUGCUUUUCCGUUGUUGACUGUAAUGACAUCUGGACACUUGUGUUUUGUUUAUGUUUCUGUCAUGUCUCCUCCCU